CCCGAUUUUUUUCCCUGACAAAGUCCCUUCUCAUUUUUUUUGCUGAUACCAUCUCCCCAUGUCCUCGGAGCUGAUAUAAGCUAUUCACACUUCACUCUCUUCCUCCUCACUGUCAGCACGCCGACACGCUACUCCCGCCCCAUCUCACUUGGUCUUAUGCACAGGUAAGAGCUCCGGACUACGCAUUACAUCGUGUGGAUAGUCACCAGCCGGUCAGACUCCGAAAUCGAGCGACUUCUUUCACAGGUAUAUUAGCAUGCUUGAGGUCACUAGUAAAAUCCAGCAUUCAUUUUUAUGCAAACAAAGCAACAUGGUUGAGAAGCUCAGAUAAGAUCUCUUUUUUAGCCAAUUCAGCACCUUAAUUCUCCAGAUAAGAUCACGACUAAGACCAAAACAAAAAAUUGGUAACAUGGAUCCUCACAACAUCAUAGGCUCAGUUCAUCUCUUGGCAUUAUACUUCCACAAUAGUUAGGGGAUAUAGAACACAACAUACAGUGACUAGCCGAACAUCCUUUCACAACACUGAACAAUCUCGCUAAUACUGCUGCAUCCGCUGGAUUUUGCUACUAAUACAGAAAAGAUAAAUUUGUUUCUACACCAAAAGGGCACUAGAGGAAAUCCUCUCCUCAAGAACCACCAGCACCACCACCUGGGCCCUCAUUAGCUGGCUUGCGGUUCAGGUAUCUUAUAACAGCAUCCUCAACCCUAUUUCAUCGUGGAACCAAAAUCACAUUGUCAGCACAUGGAUACAUGAUGUUCAAGAAAAAAAGGAGGUCAAUCGUAGGUAUUGUUAGAGCUUACCAUGGUUGGUUGUAGAAAUCUGCGCGUCUUUCCUUUUCAAUGUUCCUAUUCGCUUCGCCGGCGACCAGCUUCAAAUCUUUGCUCUGAGAAGCUAUCAGGCCGUUAAUGAACUCCACCGGGGACUGACUGAAACCCAGGAAGAAAGCCCUCCUCCUGCGGUGCUCAUGGAUCUUCUUGAUCGAGGCAGAUAUCACAUCGUCGCAGGCCUCAAUGUCCUUGUGCUUCUCAGUGUUGGCAAGGAAUGCCAUCAUCUCCUUCUGCAGCGGGAAGGGCACAUCCACCAGCACAUCAUAGCAAGCACUUGCGGAAGCUCCAUUGCCUGAUAGCUUAAUCUUGUGCUCCAAGUUGAUGGGCGGUGGGGCAGACAGAUGCUGAGAUAUCUUCUGCGACAGCAUUGCAAACUUCAGUUUAUCCUCCCCAAACACCUUCUUCAAUUGAGGGUCACACAUGAAGAAGGAAGGGUCAUUUGGGUUCUGAAGCUUCUUCGCCUUGAUGUACUGCCAGAGGGCAGCAAUCACCCGCGCGCGAGUGUCCACCUCAACCCCGAGCACCUCCAUCAGCGGCUGUGACAGCUUAAACUUCUCAGGGUUGUAGUUCAUCUCCAGCCGGAUGUUUGCAACAAACUCCUUAUCCCCUUUCCUCUUCACCUCGAAACCUUCCUGCUGGGCGGCAGAACGCGCAUUUUCCCAGAUGAUCAGUGGGUUUUCAGGGUACAGCUGUGGGUCCAGCGCAAUGGUCACCCUCUUGAAGAAUUGGGAGAACUUCGGGUACACCGGGUUGUGCUUGGGCACCACGCUGGCAGGGUCCAGCUCGGCGCCAUCCUCGAGCACGCGGCCGAUGAUCUUGAGCGACCAGGUGGGCGGGUCGGCGUUCUUGGGCGGCGGGAUGGCGCGCGGGCCCUGGUUGGCGAAGGUGUUGAAGACGUAGAUGCGGAGCGUGCGCUGGAGUGAGGGCGGCGUCUUGAGCGCCUCCUGGAUGUCCACUUUCUUCCGCGCCAGCGCCGCGUCCACGCGGGCCUCGAACUCGAGCAGCUGCGUGUAGAGCGCGGACUCCGGGAGCAGCGCGGCGACGCGGUCCGGGAGCUGCUUCUCCGGGAGCUUGCGCUUCUUGUUGCGUCGCGCGGCGGGGGUGAGGUCGACGCCUCCGGAGUUCGCCACGGCCGCCGCCGCCGCCGAAGCCUUGUACGCGGCAGCUGCCGAAGCUGCCGCGGCGGCCGAGGUAGACCCGGGACCCGGGGGCCGCACGGGGGGCUUCUGCGGGGGGCGCUUGGCCGAUUGCGCCGCCGCCGCGGCGGCGGCCGCCAUGAGCGGGGUCUGGGGCGAGGAGGCGCCCAUGUGGAUCUGGAAGGCGGGGUUGUGGGACGGCGGCGUGUGGAAGAGGCCCUGGAACGGGGAGCCGGCGAGGGAGGGUGGGCGGAGGUGGGUCAUGGGCGUCGCCGGGGAGCCGCCCGGCUGCGGCUGCUGCUGGGGAUGCGGCGGGCGCGGCUGGGGCGGGCCGCCGGUCGGGUUGGGGUUGCCGCCGGAGGCCAUGGCGGCGACGGCGGCGGCAAGCGCGAGAUCGGAUCUCGGUGGGGGUGGGGAACUGGGGAUUGGGGAAGCUAGGGUUUGGUGGCCCGUUGGCGUUGCAUAUCCGAUGGAACAGCCACCGGAUCGGUAUUGGACGGACAGGAUCUGCGCGUGAGCAUCCACAUCAGCAAAUGUUUCCAAAACCCCCUAGGGAAAGUGUAGCAUUUGAGAAGGAAGUCCUGGUCCAUAUCACAUUCACAAUCACAUCCCUAGAUUUGUUCCCCUUCACAUUCCAGAUCCCUCCCUCUUCUCUGAAAACGACGACAAUCCAAUUGUUUGCAACUCAUUGUCAAGUGCGUAAUAGCCAUACUGAGUGGUGUGCAAAUCAUUAUUAGUACAAGAUUAGACUACAUUUGCAGGGUUGCUCUAGAAUGAUGCCCUACUAUGCUAUAUCCAUUUUCUAGUUUUAGGUUCGUAGAUGUGCAAUGUCAUAACCACAAGCGCUUCUUAUUGGUGCCUUUUGGCAUGCCAUCUGUUAUAUAUUUCCUUGUGUUCUAGUACAAUAGUGUAGAUCAACAAUUGUUUUUUUUUGUUAAGCUUUUACAUUCCAUUGCUAGAUGUGACUAUUUCAUAGAGUUAAGCAUGUACUAGCUUAUGUUGUGUAGUAGAUUGAUGCUAGGUUGCACUCAGCUUGAUCAAUCAAAGGGUAGCUCUGUUCUUCUUUUAUUGUCAGGUCUUGUGCUAGUGAUGUUUCUGUUUUCUCCACAUCAGAUCAGUGGGCUGUACAACCAAUGGACAGUCUUGUGCAGAGAUUUGGCUGGACAAAUUGCGGUGGGAGCGGAUGUUCCUCGACAGCGUCCACGCACAAUGUGUUUUUCAACUUGAUAUUGUACUGUGAAACUACAAUGUGUGGGGUUCAGAGAAGAAGCAAUGUCUUCCACAGUUUACUCUUGCUUACCAUUGGCUACUUGCUUGCAGAUAGCAUGCCAUCUCAACCAUUGCUGUGAAAUAAUGUAAGAGAUUUCAGAGGACAAAAGGUCUUCUAGGUUUGUCCCGCUGGGAUAAGGGAUGAGGACUCAUGCAGGUUUACCAAUGAUGGCAUGGCAGAACAGCAUAACGUCUUAAAUGAAGAGCGGUGGAUUAGCACUGAUAUGUUAAAUCAAACUAGUUUCUUCUCAAAUCGCUUUGAGAGUUAAAUUCCCGUGAAUCCACGAUUCGUAGCAAAACCGGGAACUACCCGCCGUUCAAAUCAAAUCAUUAUAUAUGCAUAAACCAUGACAAACUCAAUGGAAUACCGGCACGCUGCACGACCGACGGCGUUUGGGGAGAAGCCCCCGCGGAGGAAGAGGCAAAGAGACGUUUCAACCUCUACAUCCAAGAUCGAAUCGGGGUGGUGCUUGCCACGACGGGGGACCUGGUGAGGCUGACGCCCUACAGCAAGUUCACGGUGUUGUUCAACUAUGUGGAGCGGCUGAGCCUGAACAUGGCGAAGAUGAGAGUUCACAGGUGGGAGGAGUACCGGGGGUGUCCGGAGACCGUGCAUGGCUACCUAAUCAAGUAUCGACCACAAUUUAUUCCUUCUCUAUAUUCCUUCUCUCAUGGCAGUUCACCAGCGAAAAGGUAAGUAAAGAUCUUUAGCAAGAGGUCUAACAAAAAUAUCAGCC
RNAcentral lists this long non-coding RNA (3970 nucleotides) under Setaria italica (foxtail millet). Its description in RNAcentral is "long non-coding RNA (SITA_LNC000645)". The record is from RNAcentral. Lineage: Eukaryota; Viridiplantae; Streptophyta; Magnoliopsida; Poales; Poaceae.